RNAcentral lists this small RNA (97 nucleotides) under Salmonella enterica. RNAcentral's name for it is "partial 6S RNA". It matches the Rfam family "6S / SsrS RNA", at positions 88 to 187 of the family's 187-position model. Rfam says of the family: E. coli 6S RNA was the first non coding RNA to be sequenced, but its function was unknown until recently. It consists of 184 nucleotides that fold into an extended hairpin structure with a large single-stranded internal bulge. Lineage: Bacteria; Pseudomonadati; Pseudomonadota; Gammaproteobacteria; Enterobacterales; Enterobacteriaceae. The record is from RNAcentral.
GCUCGGUUCGUCCGAGAAGCCUUAAAACUGUGACGACACAUUCACCUUGAACCAAGGGUUCAAGGGUUACAGCCUGCGGCGGCAUCUCGGAGAUUCC